This 465-nucleotide ribosomal RNA is filed under the name Vreelandella stevensii. Its description in RNAcentral is "partial 16S ribosomal RNA". It matches the Rfam family "Bacterial small subunit ribosomal RNA", at positions 338 to 795 of the family's 1533-position model. The record is from RNAcentral. Lineage: Bacteria; Pseudomonadati; Pseudomonadota; Gammaproteobacteria; Oceanospirillales; Halomonadaceae.
CCUACUGGGGGCAGCAGUGGGGAAUAUUGGACAAUGGGGGCAACCCUGAUCCAGCCAUGCCGCGUGUGUGAAGAAGGCCCUCGGGUUGUAAAGCACUUUCAGUGAGGAAGAACGCCUGGUGGUUAAUACCCAUCAGGAAAGACAUCACUCCCAGAAGAAGCACCGGCUAACUCCGUGCCAGCAGCCGCGGUAAUACGGAGGUGGCGAGCGUUAAUCGGAAUUACUGGGCGUAAAGCGCGCGUAGGUGGCUUGAUAAGCCGGUUGUGAAAGCCCCGGGCUCAACCUGGGAACGGCAUCCGGAACUGUCAAGCUAGAGUGCAGGAGAGGAAGGUAGAAUUCCCGGUGUAGCGGUGAAAUGCGUAGAGAUCGGGAGGAAUACCAGUGGCGAAGGCGGCCUUCUGGACUGACACUGACACUGAGGUGCGAAAGCGUGGGUAGCAAACAGGAUUAGAUACCCUAGUAGUC